CCUACGGGAGGCAGCAGUGAGGAAUAUUGCUCAAUGGACGAGAGUCUGAACCAGCCAAGUAGCGUGAAGGAUGACUGCCCUAUGGGUUGUAAACUUCUUUUAUAUGGGAAUAAAAUGUUCCACGUGUGUGAUUUUGUAUGUACCAUAUGAAUAAGGAACGGCUAACUCCGUGCCAGCAGCCGCGGUAAUACGGAGGAUCCGAGCGUUAUCCGGAUUUAUUGGGUUUAAAGGGAGCGUAGGUGGAUUGUUAAGUCAGUUGUGAAAGUUUGCGGCUCAACCGUAGAAUUGCAGUUGAAACUGGCAGUCUUGAGUACAGUAGAGGUGGGCGGAAUUCGUGGUGUAGCGGUGAAAUGCUUAGAUAUCACGAAGAACUCCGAUUGCGAAGGCAGCUCACUGGACUGCAACUGACACUGAGGCUCGAAAGUGUGGGUAGCAAACAGGAUUAGAUACCCUUGUAGUC
Molecule: ribosomal RNA, 460 nt
Filed under: uncultured bacterium
Lineage: Bacteria
Description: partial 16S ribosomal RNA
Rfam family: Bacterial small subunit ribosomal RNA
Source: RNAcentral